This 106-nucleotide microRNA precursor is filed under the name Nicotiana attenuata. RNAcentral's name for it is "MIR6152 microRNA precursor family". It matches the Rfam family "MIR6152 microRNA precursor family". The record is from Rfam by way of RNAcentral. Lineage: Eukaryota; Viridiplantae; Streptophyta; Magnoliopsida; Solanales; Solanaceae.
UGGACAGAUUAUUGUAUUCGGGUGUAUUCGACUGUAUUCACGGCGUGAAACAGGGGAUUACACAGUUUUUAAACGGAAAGUGAAUCAAUUAACAUAAUAGACUCCU